This is a long non-coding RNA of Lutra lutra (Eurasian river otter), 1064 nucleotides long. RefSeq lists it as uncharacterized. The transcript is spliced from 4 exons. The record is from RefSeq and is a predicted model, not a curated record. Lineage: Eukaryota; Metazoa; Chordata; Mammalia; Carnivora; Mustelidae.
CUGCAGCCUGACCUGCCCGCUCGCGUGGGGUGAGCCCGGGCUGCCUCUAUUUUGCUCUAUGUUUAUUUCGUUUUGUCACUAUCUUAAAGAGAAAGACAGCAGGCUUUCUCCCAAACAGUUUUUCCCUUCAGGGUAGGGGAUGUCAGCCAGAGGGUGCAGAAGCACAAAGACUCAGAGGACAAGAGAAAGCACAACAAAAACAGAACCCUGCUUUCGCGAGUAGUGGUAGUAAUCUGGCCGUCACGUGGAGAGGGGAAAAGUCAAAUACAAUUGGAAGAGCCAGAUGCCCAGGCAAAUGUCUCAAAGGAAGACCGUCACGAGAGUCACCUGGUCUAACUUGAGAGAAACCAAACUUAAGAGCUGCGACUGAAUGGAAUUCAGAGUUUUAUAUUUUUCACCAUACUCGAGGCUGGCACACCCAGCCCUCACUUCCUCCCUGCCAGCCACUCUGUGACCUCACUUUACACCCAGAGCCCUGAAGCCUAAUUGCUGAUAACCCACCACGAGGCCCAGCACGGCACCCCCGCCCCCCACCCCGGGUACCCUGGGAGGGAGAGAUAAAAACCCCCACUGGGGAAGAGCAGCCCUGCUCGAGAUGCCGCUCUGGCUUCUCCUAAAGAACCAUGCACGCCAAGUUGGCAGGAAAACCCCACCUGCAGGGGCAAGAUAACACUCUCCUGGAUGUGAGGACGAGCAGGGUGAUCUGGUCCUGGCUAAAUUAUGUUGCACGAAUCCUGCAGCAUGUCCUCUGAGGACGCUGCUCCUGGUAAGUGGACUUCUAAUAGCGCAUCUAAGAAAAACAUCCAGCCUUCAGGACACGAACGCAAUCUCCACAAAGGAUUUUAUUUGUCCCAUUGCUGAGGAAUCCCAAGCACCUGGAGAAGCGUCUGGCUCAAGUGAGUGCUCAAUGAAGAGUUGCUGAGUCCAUGAAUGAAUGCACCUGCCACUGCAUUUUUGGGGUGGGUUCUGCUGUUGCUGUCCUAUAUUCUUCAAGUCUUAUAAAAAUUGCUGUAAAUCACAUUCAACAUUGAUGAGACAUGAGUUUACCGUUAAAAAAAUGUCAG